Long non-coding RNA from Physeter macrocephalus (sperm whale), 914 nucleotides. RefSeq lists it as uncharacterized. NCBI's taxonomy places the organism in Eukaryota, Metazoa, Chordata, Mammalia, Artiodactyla, Physeteridae. The record is from RefSeq and is a predicted model, not a curated record. The transcript is spliced from 7 exons.
ACGGAACUGGUAAGAACAGAGUAGUAGCUUCAGACUGGGCAGAGGUGUCUGACAGGGUAGAGUGGGGGCCUGCUUUGCUACAGCCAAAGAAACUAAAAUUCCUGGACAGAAAAAACAAGAGGCAUUAAGCCUUGGUAUUCAAACAUCUUCUAAAAUCUACAGGUAUCUAAUUAAUACCCGAUUUAGCUGUGUAUCCCGCAUGGCUUCACAAGAGUCACUGAAGCCUGAAGGACCAUUGGAUAACCCACGACUCAGAGAUGCUGUUUAGGCACCUGGGCAUUUGUGAACUCUGCUACCAAGACUGCAGCAGUGGUCAUGCCACUUUCUGCCAAGGUGAUGGAGCCAAAGAACAGAGUUUUGGGGCUGGGGAGUACCUAUGUCUACUUGACCUAACGGCACAUGGAAGGAGGAUGGGGCCAGGUGGGAACGUGAAUAGAUUCUGCCAACAGAAAUAAGAUGAGAGCUGGAUUAUUACAACAUGGUCUGAUUAGGUUUGACAACUUCAGCCUCUGGGAGCUUCCUUGACGCCCUCCUGCCUCCAAGUCUGAGCUCCUCUGGACCUUCCUUGCCUCUCUUUCCUGGCUGCUAAUCAACAACAUUAAAACAGGCAGCAGAGUGCAGCAGGACGGGUUUGACCCCUAAAAGUCACUGGAAUCUAAUUUGGAACAGCGGCAUAAAAAAGGACUUAUUAAAUCAUAUUGAACAGAAGAUGGCUCUGAUAUGAUUUGCUGCCCCAAUCUCUCACCAAAGGAAGAAGGAAAUCAGAGGACUUAACUGGACUUCCCUAGUGGCGCAGUGGUUAAGAAUCUGCCUGCCAAUGCAGGGGACACGGGUUCAAGCCCUGGUCCGGGAAGAUCCCACAUGCCGCGGGGCAACUAAGCCCGUCCGCCACAACUACUGAGCCUGCGCUCUAG